CGGACGGGUGAGUAAUGUCUGGGAAACUGCCUGAUGGAGGGGGAUAACUACUGGAAACGGUAGCUAAUACCGCAUAACGUCGCAAGACCAAAGAGGGGGACCUUCGGGCCUCUUGCCAUCGGAUGUGCCCAGAUGGGAUUAGCUAGUAGGUGGGGUAACGGCUCACCUAGGCGACGAUCCCUGCUGGUCUGAGAGGAUGACCAGCCACACUGGAACUGAGACACGGUCCAG
Molecule: ribosomal RNA, 231 nt
Filed under: uncultured bacterium
Lineage: Bacteria
Description: partial 16S ribosomal RNA
Rfam family: Bacterial small subunit ribosomal RNA
Source: RNAcentral